Molecule: ribosomal RNA, 525 nt
Filed under: uncultured bacterium
Lineage: Bacteria
Description: bacterial SSU rRNA
Rfam family: Bacterial small subunit ribosomal RNA
Source: RNAcentral
UGGGGAAUUUUGCGCAAUGGGGGAAACCCUGACGCAGCAACGCCGCGUGGAGGAUGAAGCCCCUUGGGGUGUAAACUCCUUUCGAUCGGGACGAUUAUGACGGUACCGGAUGAAGAAGCACCGGCUAACUCUGUGCCAGCAGCCGCGGUAAUACAGAGGGUGCAAGCGUUGUUCGGAAUUAUUGGGCGUAAAGGGUGCGUAGGCGGUGCGGUAAGUCUGCUGUGAAAUCUCCGGGCUCAACCCGGAGCCUGCAACGGAAACUGCCGUGCUCGAGUAUGGGAGAGGUGAGUGGAAUUCCCGGUGUAGCGGUGAAAUGCGUAGAUAUCGGGGGGAACACCUGUGGCGAAAGCGGCUCACUGGACCAUUACUGACGCUGAUGCACGAAAGCUAGGGGAGCAAACAGGAUUAGAUACCCUGGUAGUCCUAGCCCUAAACUAUGAUCGCUUGGUGUGACAGGUACCCAAUCCUGUCGUGCCGGAGCUAACGCGUUAAGCGAUCCGCCUGGGGAGUACGGUCGCAAGGCUG